GUGAUAAGAUUCGUGGUCGAAAGGGAAACAGCCCAGACCGUCAGCUAAGGUCCCUAAACUAUGCUAAGUGGGAAAGGAAGUAUGAUUGCCCAGACAGCCAGGAGGUUGGCUUAGAAGCAGCCACUCCUUGAAAGAGUGCGUAAUAGCUCACUGGUCGAGUAGUCAUGCGCCGACAAUUUAACGGGGCUAAGCAUAGUACCGAAGCUACGGCUCAUUAGUUUACUAAUGGGGGUAGGGGAGCAUUCUGUAAGCCGAUGAAGGUGUUCUGUAAGGGAUGCUGGAGGUAUCAGAAGUGAGAAUGCAGGCAUGAGUAACGAAAAGGGAGGUGAGAUCCCUCCCCGCCGAAAGCCGAAGGUUUCCUGGGUAAAGUUCGUCUUCCCAGGGUUAGUCGGUCCCUAAGGCGAGGCCGAAAGGCGUAGUCGAUGGGAAACUAGUUAAUAUUCUAGUACUUCUGAUAAUUUCGAUGGAGUGACGCAUAGGGGGAAUCCCUGCCGGGCGUUGGUUGUCCCGGUUCAAGCGGUAAGGUGUUGAAUCUCGCAGGCAAAUCCGCGAGAUGAGCUGAGCCGCGAAGAGUAGUGAUCCUACGGGUGAACGAAGAGGGUGGACUCGUCGUGCCGAGAAAGAGCUUCUAAGGUUAGGUUAUCAGGAACCGUACCGCAAACCGACACAGGUAGGCGAGCUGAGAAUGCUAAGGCGUACGGAAGAACUCACGUUAAGGAACUCGGCAAAUUACAUACGUAACUUAGGGAGAAGUAUGGCCUCCUUCGAGAGAAGAGGUUGCAGAGACCAGGCCCGAGCGACUGUUUACCAAAAACACAGGUCACUGCGAACCAGCAAUGGGAAGUAUAGUGACUGACACCUGCCCGGUGCUGGAAGGUUAAGAGGAGCUGUUAGCAUUUAUGUGAAGCAGUGAAUUGAAGCCCCAGUAAACGGCGGCCGUAACUAUAACGGUCCUAAGGUGGCGAAAUUCCUUGUCGGGUAAGUUCCGACCCGCACGAAUGGUGUAACGAUUUGGGCACUGUCUCGACGUGAGAUCCGGUGAAAUUAAAGUCUCGGUGAAGAUGCCGAGUACUCGUGGUUAGACGGAAAGACCCCGUGAACCUUUACUGCAUCCUGAUAUUGAUGCGUGGAUUAUGAUGUGUAGGAUAGGUGGGAGACUAUGAUUUCUGGUCGUCAGGCUGGGAUGAGUCGUUGGUGAAAUACCACCCUUUAUGAUUCAUGUAUCUAACGCUGACCGUGAAGCCGGUUAGCGGACAUUGUCAGGUGGGCAGUUUGACUGGGGCGGUCGCCUCCCAAAGCGUAACGGAGGCGCGCGAAGGUUCUCUUUUCACGGUCAGAAAUCGUGAAUGAAGUGUAAAGGCAUAAGAGAGCUUGACUGCGAGACUGACAAGUCGAGCAGGUACGAAAGUAGGUCUUAGUGAUCUGG
This 1426-nucleotide ribosomal RNA is filed under the name Ctenophora environmental sample. Its description in RNAcentral is "partial Bacterial large subunit ribosomal RNA". It matches the Rfam family "Bacterial large subunit ribosomal RNA", at positions 995 to 2423 of the family's 2925-position model. The record is from RNAcentral. Lineage: Eukaryota; Metazoa; Ctenophora.